Molecule: ribosomal RNA, 279 nt
Filed under: uncultured eukaryote
Lineage: Eukaryota
Description: partial 18S ribosomal RNA
Rfam family: Bacterial small subunit ribosomal RNA
Source: RNAcentral
CAAAGGAAUAGACGGGGGCCCGCACAAGCGGAGGAACAUGUGGUUUAAUUCGAUGAUACGCGAGGAACCUUACCCGGGCUCGAACGGUGCAUGAAUAUACGAGAGAUUGUAUAGUCCUUCGGGACAUGUAUCGAGGUGCUGCAUGGUUGUCGUCAGCUCGUGCCGUGAGGUGUCGGCUUAAGUGCCAUAACGAGCGCAACCCUUGUCAUUAGUUGCCAUCAGGUCAAGCUGGGGACUUUAAUGAGACUGCCACCGUAAGGUGUGAGGAAGGGGGGGAUG